CUCUCCCACAUAUACUAAAAUUGGAACAAUACAGAGGAGAAGACUAGCAGGGCCCCUGCACAAGAAUACCCUUUUAAAACUAGCUCUUUAGUUCUAU
This 97-nucleotide small nuclear RNA is filed under the name Dipodomys ordii (Ord's kangaroo rat). The record is from RNAcentral. Lineage: Eukaryota; Metazoa; Chordata; Mammalia; Rodentia; Heteromyidae.